GUUCUUGUCGGUGAUCAUUGCCAGCUUGGUCCAGUCAUUAUGUGCAAGAAAGCUGCUCGUGCUGGGCUUGCCCAAUCUCUCUUUGAGCGCCUUGUUUUACUUGGUUUGAAACCGAUUAGAUUGCAGGUGAGUACUAUUUUCCUUUUGCUUUCUGCUUUGUACCUGUUGACUUUUAACUUUAUAAAGUUGGAAGAUUGCUGCGAUGAUUAGGCUUUUGUUGUAUGGACGUAUAUUUGUGUUUGUUGGGGGGGGGGUAUGAGUGUCCUGCAUCUCUAUAUCUAAUUGCUCAAGCUUAACAAUUAGCUGGUGUACAGAUUAAGUGAUUUAUUUUUAUAAACUGGUUUUAGUUAUUUUUCCAUAGCAUGACCUUUUUUUAAGAGCUUGGCAAUUCCUUUAGUUGCUGAUACUAUUUGUUUGGCUGUUUCAUAUAUGAAUUCUCUCUGUUGUCUUUUUCCUGAACUCCUGUUGAUAUAUUUUCUUGAAAUUUUCCCCCUCUUAUAUCCAUCUUCAGGAAUUAUUCAAAAAAGUGGUCUGACCUUUUUCUUUUCUUCUUGUAUAUCUUUGAUUGCGGAUUGUUUUGACCAAUAUUUAAUUCCAGAAUAAUGUUGUGUUCUCAACUCUCAGAAAUCUUUUAAGGUCACGAUUGUAGGAUAUGUCAUGUUCUGACUAAUGAAGUAUUUUCUGUUCCCCUCAACUUCAGGUU
This 703-nucleotide long non-coding RNA is filed under the name Citrus x clementina. RNAcentral's name for it is "Citrus clementina (C. clementina) long non-coding RNA (CCLE_LNC003444)". The record is from RNAcentral. Lineage: Eukaryota; Viridiplantae; Streptophyta; Magnoliopsida; Sapindales; Rutaceae.